CUAAAUCUCCCUGCGUCGGGCACUUUUGUUUGGCUCUGUUGCCAUCGUCCCCUUCCAUCGCCUCUCCCCAUCGCCCUGGAAGUUUCUUUGGAUGCAGACUUCCUCAUUACAAGGCUGGUCCCUUCGGAAAACAGGCCUUUCUGCCUGCCUGGAGUCAUCUGGAGAGAAAUCAAGUGUGAGCACCUCUCCCGCAGAAAGUUCUUGCAAGGUUCCAGUCGACUAAAUGAGCUUGCCUUCUGCCAGGAGUAAGGCAGUCCUGCAAGACAGAACCAAAGUGCCAUUCCCCAGGAAGCUCUUCUUUGUCAGAACAUCCCUGGUCCUUUUGCUUUUGUUUCUGAAUUAAAAAGAUGUGUUUGCCUGCC
Molecule: long non-coding RNA, 362 nt
Filed under: Sus scrofa (pig)
Lineage: Eukaryota; Metazoa; Chordata; Mammalia; Artiodactyla; Suidae
Description: lncRNA (ENSSSCG00015015392.1)
Source: RNAcentral